This is a long non-coding RNA of Bos taurus (domestic cattle), 1095 nucleotides long. Lineage: Eukaryota; Metazoa; Chordata; Mammalia; Artiodactyla; Bovidae. The record is from Ensembl.
AGUCCUCACAGGGAGCAGGGGUAGAGGGGAAGAGGCUGCUGUGCAGAAGGCGGAUAGAGUUGUCUUGUUUUAAUGUGGCCCCUGCAGGCUGAGUUUCGUUUUGUGAUCCAUCUGCCUUAGAGAUGCCGACACAACGCAAAGCAUGCUUUUAAAAAAGGAAUUUGAACAUUACAGCAACUUUGAAAAUGAAAGUCCUUCAUAAACUGCUCUUCCAAGUGUGGUUUGGUAUCUCCUGGGAACUGGCCAGAAAUGCAGAGUCUCAGGCCCCUUCCAGCAUGACCUGCCGAAUGAGAACCUGCAUUUGACUGAAUCCCACUGACUCACAGGCUCCUGAGAGCGAGAAGAGCCAGCUGCAACCCUCCUGUCCACAAGCCCGGCGAAGAUAAUAAUGUCAUCGGUUGUGUGUGCACUUAAGAGCCAUUUAAAAUGUGCACUCUUCUAACCUCUUCCAGUCAUUACCUGCAAUUUUCAGGCCUUGUCUAAAACCAAAAUCCUCAUCAAUGUCAUUCAGCAGGAAGCUAAUAAAGACAUCAUUAUCUUGUCUGUCAGCUGCCCUCUUGCCCCGUCUCCAACCCCAGCAGUCACGGUGAUGGUUCUAAAACAUAAACCGAUCGCAUCACUCUCCCGCUUAGACUCCUGCCCUGCCUUUCCAUGGGAGCGCAGUCCUUGCCCUCUGCUGCCUGUUUCUGACAUGCUGACCUUCUCUUUUGGGCCAUCUGGAUCUUUGCACUCUCGCUUCUGUGCAUGGAUGCCCUUUCCUCCUUCCUCUCGGCUGGUUCCUUUUCAUCCUUCAUGUCUCAGCUUAAAUGUCACCUCCUCAGAGGUGUGAGGUGAAAUGACCAUAUGGGGAAAGCACGCCCUUGCUCUUUAUCACAGCUCAUGUCAGUCACCAGCCAUGGUCAGGACUCUCUCUCUGGAGGAGUGUAAAUCCCACAAGGGCAGAGACCAUCCUGUCUGCUGCUCUCCCUUGGACCCUUGUACUUGGCACAGCAUCUUAAUAAACAUCUAUUGAAUUAAUGCCUUCUUUCUAGAGACCAGGUAUCUGAAUAUCAUCACCUUGUUUGUACUGACUUGUUGAAAUUAUAAAAAUAAUAG